Molecule: long non-coding RNA, 1276 nt
Filed under: Homo sapiens (human)
Lineage: Eukaryota; Metazoa; Chordata; Mammalia; Primates; Hominidae
Description: HSALNT0341809
Source: RNAcentral
UAAAUAAACAAACAAACAAAUAAGAAGAAACUCAUCACCAAAGGCCCCAUGGAAUAUCUGCAAUACCCUGAAGACCAUGAUGUUCAGCAGCAACAAGGAAGUGCCACAAGAAAGCAUAACCAUUGAUCAUUGACAAAAUGACUUGGCUCUAUCUGGAUUUAUCUUAACCAAGGAAUUUAGAAGAACAGAAAAAGUAGUGGAGUCAAAUAAAUUCCAGAACACGAAUAGUAGACAUUGUAGAAUCAGAAAUAGUAGAGAUUAAUACCUUUCCUCUCCAUCAUGAGGGGCAUGGCCAACAUUCAUAACAAAAUGAGAGCAGCAGGAGGUAGACAAAUGCCUAAGUAGACAGAGGAAGGUCCCGAGUGAAACCCCACCUUCAAUCCAAAAUCAGCCCGAGACCUGCAACCUAGAGUGAGAUCUUCUAUUCCUGUUUGCCUGCUCUUUCCCAAUUGGUUCUUUCUGAAUAAUGCUUUUAAACUAACCAAAAGUUACCUAUUCCAAUGCUACCUUCGUCCCACCCCUCCCCAUCCUGUGCUUGUAAAAACCCUAGACUCAUCCACACCGGGGGAGAAACCACCUGACUUCGGGUGGGGAAGCUCUCCUGUGACCCCUCUCCACUGAGAGCUGUUUUGUCACUCAAUAAAAUUCUUCUCCACCCUCCUCACCCUUCAAUUGUCAGCAUAUCCUCAUUUUUCUAGGACACAGGACAAGAACUCAGGAAUCACCAGACCCAUAAUAUGAGCUAUAACACAGAUGGGCUGGGGCACACCUGGCCCAGCUGCGGGCUGAGCCAGUGUGCAAGCCAGGCACAGCCUGGGUGGGCUGAGUGGGUGGGCCACCUCCUGCAGCAAGUAGCAUGGCCAAGCAAGGCCCAGGCGGGGGCGUCGCCGGCCGGCGGUUCCCAGCUGGUGAAGUGACUGAGAAAAAUCCUGCAUCAAAAAGACAGGUUAACAAGAAAAAAGCACACCAGUUUAUUCAAAAUUUUAUGUGACACUAAAGCCUUCAGAAAUGAAGACUCAAAGACUCAGGGAAAAGUGUCUAUUUUUAUGCUUGGGUUUGGUGAGGCAUGAACAGCUGUGUAGCAAUGUGAUUGGACAAAAGGGGAAGACCUAAAGAUAAUAGACCGAGUAGGGAAACUCAGCAAAGCUGUACGGAUUCCUCUUGGGCUGUCUGUGGUAUCAUUUCUUCCUUCUUGAUAUGGGGCAGGACCCAUCUGGAUUGAGGGUCUUAUGACCUACUAUUAAAGAGAGGUAGGUCAGAGAAUUUCUUUAUAGUC